RNAcentral lists this transfer RNA (84 nucleotides) under Myxococcota bacterium. Its description in RNAcentral is "tRNA-Leu". It matches the Rfam family "tRNA". From Rfam's summary of the family: Transfer RNA (tRNA) molecules are approximately 80 nucleotides in length. Their secondary structure includes four short double-helical elements and three loops (D, anti-codon, and T loops). Lineage: Bacteria; Pseudomonadati; Myxococcota. The record is from RNAcentral.
GCCGAAGUGGCGGAACCGGCAGACGCGGCGGACUCAAAAUCCGUUUCCUUCACGGGAGUGUGGGUUCGACUCCCACCUUCGGCA